UUGAAAGCAUCGGGAGAAUCCCCAAGGGUUGUAAACAAGAGUGCCGCAGCCGAUCGGGGUGCCGUAGGGAAUAAGCAGCAGGGAAUGCCAUCCCUGGUCUGUAAAAAUCUCAGGCCCAAGCACCGAUGCCAGACA
RNAcentral lists this non-coding RNA (135 nucleotides) under Clostridium sp. RNAcentral's name for it is "Glycine sequence". It matches the Rfam family "Glycine riboswitch aptamer". From Rfam's summary of the family: This family represents the bacterial glycine riboswitch. Glycine riboswitches usually consist of two metabolite-binding aptamers domains with similar structures in tandem. The aptamers cooperatively bind glycine to regulate the expression of downstream genes. RNAcentral also lists the same sequence under 1 other name. The record is from RNAcentral. Lineage: Bacteria; Bacillati; Bacillota; Clostridia; Eubacteriales; Clostridiaceae.